AACGAACGCUGGCGGCAUGCCUAACACAUGCAAGUCGAACGAGACCUUCGGGUCUAGUGGCGCACGGGUGCGUAACGCGUGGGAACCUGCCCUUAGGUUCGGAAUAACUCCCCGAAAGGGGUGCUAAUACCGGAUAAUGUCUUCGGACCAAAGAUUUAUCGCCUUUGGAUGGGCCCGCGUUGGAUUAGCUAGUUGGUAGGGUAAAAGCCUACCAAGGAGACGAUCCAUAGCUGGGCUGAGAGGAUGAUCAGCCACACUGGGACUGAGACACGGCCCAGACUCCUACGGGAGGCAGCAGUGGGGAAUAUUGGACAAUGGGCGAAAGCCUGAUCCAGCAAUGCCGCGUGAGUGAUGAAGGCCUUAGGGUUGUAAAGCUCUUUUACCCGGGAUGAUAAUGACAGUACCGGGAGAAUAAGCUCCGGCUAACUCCGUG
Molecule: ribosomal RNA, 433 nt
Filed under: uncultured bacterium
Lineage: Bacteria
Description: partial 16S ribosomal RNA
Rfam family: Bacterial small subunit ribosomal RNA
Source: RNAcentral